GGUUAAGCGACUAAGCGUACACGGUGGAUGCCCUGGCAGUCAGAGGCGAUGAAGGACGUGCUAAUCUGCGAUAAGCGUCGGUAAGGUGAUAUGAACCGUUAUAACCGGCGAUUUCCGAAUGGGGAAACCCAGUGUGAUUCGUCACACUAUCAUUAACUGAAUCCAUAGGUUAAUGAGGCGAACCGGGGGAACUGAAACAUCUAAGUACCCCGAGGAAAAGAAAUCAACCGAGAUUCCCCCAGUAGCGGCGAGCGAACGGGGAGCAGCCCAGAGCCUGAAUCAGUGUGUGUGUUAGUGGAAGCGUCUGGAAAGGCGCGCGAUACAGGGUGACAGCCCCGUACACAAAAAUGCACAUAUUGUGAGCUCGAUGAGUAGGGCGGGACACGUGGUAUCCUGUCUGAAUAUGGGGGGCCCAUCCUCCAAGGCUAAAUACUCCUGACUGACCGAUAGUGAACCAGUACCGUGAGGGAAAGGCGAAAAGAACCCCGGCGAGGGGAGUGAAAAAGAACCUGAAACCGUGUACGUACAAGCAGUGGGAGCACGCUUAGGCGUGUGACUGCGUACCUUUUGUAUAAUGGGUCAGCGACUUAUAUUCUGUAGCAAGGUUAACCGAAUAGGGGAGCCGAAGGGAAACCGAGUCUUAACUGG
Molecule: ribosomal RNA, 648 nt
Filed under: Shigella sonnei
Lineage: Bacteria; Pseudomonadati; Pseudomonadota; Gammaproteobacteria; Enterobacterales; Enterobacteriaceae
Description: partial 23S ribosomal RNA
Rfam family: Bacterial large subunit ribosomal RNA
Source: RNAcentral